This is a long non-coding RNA of Oreochromis aureus, 1178 nucleotides long. The record is from Ensembl. Lineage: Eukaryota; Metazoa; Chordata; Actinopteri; Cichliformes; Cichlidae.
GGCUCUACACAGUGAUUAAAAUAAUCUUUAUACAUGUACAUGAUUCAGAAUACAGAUACUCUGUUGCCAAAAAAGGUGACUUCAGUAACAAUGCUUCAAAACAACAGGGUUAUUUUUUCAUAUUAUUUUUUUAAUCCUGAAAAAUAUGAAUAAAUCUGAAAUAGCAAAUCUUUUUACGUGUUUUUUUUUCUGUUUCUGUCUCCAGUGGAUGUAACUCUGGAUCCUGCUACUGCUGCUGGCUGGGUGGUCCUGUCCCCGGAUGGUAAAAAGGUGAGCCUGAGCUCCCAGCAGUGGAGGAACCCGCUACCUGACGACCCCCGCAGGUUCAACUCCUGCGUCGCUGUGCUGGGAAAACAAAGCUUCACAUCUGGGAAACGUUACUGGGUGGUUCAGGUUGGGGACAAAAGAGACUGGGAUCUUGGGGUGGCCCGGGAGUCCAUCAACAGGAAGGGUGCCAUCACAAUUUGCCCUGACAACGGUUACUGGGCGAUAUGCUGACGUAGCGGUGGUAGCCUGUGCGCCUGCGCUGGACCUUCCGUCACCCUUCACCUUAAAGAAAUUCCUCAGAAAGUCGGUAUAUUCCUGGACUAUGACGAAGGCUCGGUUUCCUUCUACAACACAGAGGCAAAGACUCACAUUUAUACUUACAGUGGGCUCACUUUCACCGAGCCGCUGUAUCCGUACUUUAACCCCUGCAUACAUGACACCGGGAAGAACACGGCCCCGCUGGUUAUCUGCCCGAUCGAGGCUGGGAUCACUGUAGACACUUCAGCACGUUGAACAAGAGACUCGGAGGAUCCUUGUUAAAACCUCAAGAGUAUCCACAUUAGUUGUCUGGAUAAGUUGUAAUCUGUAAAUGCAAACAAAAGGCACUUGGAGCAGAACGAAAGACCAAGAACAGGAGAAAAUAUUCUCCUGAAUUUGUACGUGCUUUGUCUCUAGGGGCCACCGUAAAUAUACUUUUAUUUAUUCACUCCACAUAAAAUGUAAUAAAUAACUAUUUAACAUUUCAACUUUUAACUAUUUAAAUUUUCAGCUUUUUCCUUUUAAACAAAUUUAAAGUGAAACAACACAAAACACUGCAAACCACAACACAAUUAAAUAUAAAUUAAAAUAUGAAACAAAAAGAAGAUGCACAUUCUCUGUCAUAUGGGCCUGCAUGAAUAAACUUUCUGAAC